Molecule: ribosomal RNA, 485 nt
Filed under: uncultured bacterium
Lineage: Bacteria
Description: partial 16S ribosomal RNA
Rfam family: Bacterial small subunit ribosomal RNA
Source: RNAcentral
AUUGAACGCUGGCGGCAUGCCUUACACAUGCAAGUCGAACGGCAGCACGGGUGCUUGCACCUGGUGGCGAGUGGCGAACGGGUGAGUAAUACAUCGGAACAUGUCCUGUAGUGGGGGAUAGCCCGGCGAAAGCCGGAUUAAUACCGCAUACGAUCUACGGAUGAAAGCGGGGACCCUCGGGCCCCCGCCCAUAGGGUUUGCCGAUGGCUGAUUAGCUAGUUGGUGGGGUAAAGGCCUACCAAGGCGACGAUCAGUAGCUGGUCUGAGAGGACGACCAGCCACACUGGGACUGAGACACGGCCCAGACUCCUACGGGAGGCAGCAGUGGGGAAUUUUGGACAAUAGGCGAAAGCCUGAUCCAGCAAUGCCGCGUGUGUGAAGAAGGCCUUCGGGUUGUAAAGCACUUUUGUCCGGAAAGAAAUCCUUGGCCCUAAUACGGUCGGGGGAUGACGGUACCGGAAGAAUAAGCACCGGCUAACUACGUG